Molecule: long non-coding RNA, 372 nt
Organism: Dermacentor silvarum
Lineage: Eukaryota; Metazoa; Arthropoda; Arachnida; Ixodida; Ixodidae
Exons: 3
Source: RefSeq, a predicted model, not a curated record
AGUGCCAGCGCUAUUUGUACAUGAGGACACCUCCUUGCUGUUGCAACUCUGAGGACAAUUGCUUCAAAUGGGAAGGAACAACCAGCAGUGCCAGCGCUAUUUGUACAUGAGGACGACGAGAGGGUUCCACUCACCCCCUGUGUGGUGUAUUCUGGCCACAACCUGGAACAGGCAGAGUUUCUCCACCUCUGUGUCGACAAGGAGCGGCUGUUCAUGGUCAAAAAUGCGGAGGAAGGGGUCAUCGCAAUCAUGAGUGCAUUUUUUGUAUUGAACAUAGUAUAUGGGCCUAAAUACUUCAACACCAGUGCAGUACUGGAAUGAUUGUUUUUUGGUUUGAAUGUAACAAUGCCAAGUGGUUGUUACAAAGUUUGU